CAAACAAAACACAAAUCGUUAAAUCGCAAGCAUUUCAAAACACUGACAGCUGAUAUUACACCGUAUCAGCGAUAUUUCAAUUAAGCAAGAAUAAAAUAGCAGGAUAAAUAAAAUUAUGCUCCCUGUUGGACCAACUUAAAACAUUCUCAUUUAAUCAAAAUGGAAAAUUGUAACAGGGAUUGUCAAUAAUUUUACUGUUAUUAUUAGAAGAAUAAUAACAAUCCUUUGCAGUAUUCUGUUAGACUUUAAAAGCAGAAUAGCCACAAUUUCUACACUUUAUAAUGGGUGUAAGUCAAUUAAUCCAGAGCUAUCAAUUUCCAUGAGUCAUGACAACAAAAUCAGGAUUUGGAUAUGUUAAACUUGGAAAUCUCAUUUAAUAAUGAGAGUGAAGCAGUUGUAAUAGUUGAUUUAUUAACCAAUAAUAACAAUAUGCAUAUACAGUGCCUUCGAAGGAACUUCUAUAUAUAGUAUGUUACAACGUGAGGCUCUUAAAAUGAUACUGCUGGAUGGACUAGCAUGUAAAGAUGAAACAUUAACUUAAGAAAUAGAGAAUGUAGAAAGAAAUGUGUGAAACACAUUACACGCACCAUUAAUACAAAAGUAUGUGGAGAAAGCAGUGUCAUAUUCAAUUUGCGUACU
Linepithema humile (Argentine ant) is the source of this 639-nucleotide non-coding RNA. The record is from RefSeq and is a predicted model, not a curated record. NCBI's taxonomy places the organism in Eukaryota, Metazoa, Arthropoda, Insecta, Hymenoptera, Formicidae.